UUUUUUUUUUUUUUUUUUUUUUUUUUUUUUUUUGACC
Molecule: non-coding RNA, 37 nt
Filed under: Alexandrium minutum
Lineage: Eukaryota; Dinophyceae; Gonyaulacales; Pyrocystaceae
Source: RNAcentral